This 85-nucleotide transfer RNA is filed under the name Anaerolineales bacterium. RNAcentral's name for it is "tRNA-Ser". It matches the Rfam family "tRNA". Rfam says of the family: Transfer RNA (tRNA) molecules are approximately 80 nucleotides in length. Their secondary structure includes four short double-helical elements and three loops (D, anti-codon, and T loops). Lineage: Bacteria; Bacillati; Chloroflexota; Anaerolineae; Anaerolineales. The record is from RNAcentral.
GGAAGGAUGGCCGAGUGGCCUAAGGCACACGUCUGGAGAACGUGUGAGCAGAAAUGCUCCGUGGGUUCGAAUCCCACUCCUUCCG